Molecule: microRNA precursor, 189 nt
Filed under: Oryza sativa Indica Group (long-grained rice)
Lineage: Eukaryota; Viridiplantae; Streptophyta; Magnoliopsida; Poales; Poaceae
Description: MIR812 microRNA precursor family
Rfam family: MIR812 microRNA precursor family
Source: Rfam by way of RNAcentral
AAAAAGACAAACCCUGGUUUUCUGUGUUUAACUUUGACUAUCCGUCUUAUAUAAAUUUAUUUUAUAAUUCAUAUUUUAUUGAUGUUAGAUGAUAAAAACAUGAUAAAUAUUUUAUGUGUGACUUGUCUUUUUAAUUUUUUUCAUAAUUUUUUUAAAUAAGACGGCGGUUAAACGUUGAGCACAGAAACC